GCGCGGUUAGCUCAGCGGUAGAGCAUCACCUUGACACGGUGGGGGUCACUGGUUCGAACCCAGUAUCGCGCACCA
Molecule: transfer RNA, 75 nt
Filed under: Verrucomicrobiales bacterium
Lineage: Bacteria; Pseudomonadati; Verrucomicrobiota; Verrucomicrobiia; Verrucomicrobiales
Description: tRNA-Val
Rfam family: tRNA
About the family: Transfer RNA (tRNA) molecules are approximately 80 nucleotides in length.
Source: RNAcentral